Zophobas morio is the source of this 920-nucleotide long non-coding RNA. RefSeq lists it as uncharacterized. The record is from RefSeq and is a predicted model, not a curated record. The transcript has 3 exons. Lineage: Eukaryota; Metazoa; Arthropoda; Insecta; Coleoptera; Tenebrionidae.
UCACACUUGGCACAGACCACAAAGUAUUCUUCAUUGACCAGAGUUGAACCGACAGUUUAGCAAUUAGUUGACAAUUCGUUCAUAAAGUUUUUCCUAUUGGCUAAGUAAUAAUAAGGAACACUGAAUUCUGGGAAAUUCUGUUUUUAACAAAUUAUAAACACACAUUUUCGCGUGUUUACAUCCUAGAAGCAUCUAAAUAGCAAACAAAACGUGCAAAAAAGUCAAAAUAUUAACUGAUAAGUAAUAACAGUUAUAUAUGAUAUUUAUAUAUGGUUAAGUGCGCACUGGUUUGUGACAUGCGCAAGUGCGGCGGUUGAAAUAUGGUUCAUUCCACCACCGCCAAAUCCGUGAAAACGUCCUGCUAAACAAUGAACAUGUGCAUUCCAAAACAUGCAUUCAAUCAACAAACUAAGGGGUUUUUAAAACGAAACAAGUCACGGCUGACUUCAUCUGUAUACGCUCCAUGGUCACAAACACCCCAAAGACAUAAAACCGACCGCUUUUUGAAGACAUAUUUUUGCCAAAUGACUGGUUUAUUGCAGCCAAUUUGUGCACUAAAUCAAGCUGACCAAAAACCGACACCAUAAAAUUUAGGAGAACUUCCUUUCUUAAAAGCGCGGAAGUGUCCACUCAAUGAAAUUAUUUAUUCACCGUUGGUAAUUUUGAAACGAUAAAUGAAGAUUUCGGGUCUCUAUCUGUCUGACUGCGUUCUGAAAGUUAUAAAUAAAUGUGCAUGCAAAAACAGCGAUUGUGCUUGGUAACAGUUCAACGGAGUUAUCGCGUUUCUGAUUGCAGUUAGAUAAUUUCGUGUAAUUGUUGCAAUUAAAGUAAGUUUAGACUAGUUGAAAAUUUAAAUGCAGUACGUUUUAGUUUUGUGUUUUAAAUAACAUGUUUUUGCUUUUGAGAUUUCUCAUGUAGAU